RNAcentral lists this ribosomal RNA (492 nucleotides) under uncultured bacterium. RNAcentral describes it as "partial 16S ribosomal RNA". It matches the Rfam family "Bacterial small subunit ribosomal RNA", at positions 29 to 507 of the family's 1533-position model. The record is from RNAcentral.
AGUGAACGCUGGCGGUAGGCCUAACACAUGCAAGUCGAACGGCAGCACAGUAAGAGCUUGCUCUUACGGGUGGCGAGUGGCGGACGGGUGAGGAAUACAUCGGAAUCUACUUUUUCGUGGGGGAUAACGUAGGGAAACUUACGCUAAUACCGCAUACGACCUACGGGUGAAAGCAGGGGAUCUUCGGACCUUGCGCGAGUGAAUGAGCCGAUGUCGGAUUAGCUAGGUGGCGGGGUAAAGGCCCACCAAGGCGACGAUCCGUAGCUGGUCUGAGAGGAUGAUCAGCCACACUGGAACUGAGACACGGUCCAGACUCCUACGGGAGGCAGCAGUGGGGAAUAUUGGACAAUGGGCGCAAGCCUGAUCCAGCCAUGCCGCGUGCGUGAAGAAGGCCUUCGGGUUGUAAAGCCCUUUUGUUGGGAAAGAAAAGCAGCAGGUUAAUACCCCGCUGUUAUGACGGUACCCAAAGAAUAAGCACCGGCUAACUUCGUG